UGUUCUUUUUUGAAUUUGGGAAGCGGUUCAAAGCAUAAAUAAAUUUGAAGCCGGAAAAAAGUGACCGAGGUUGAGGUAGGAAGCCCUUCACAGAGGAUGUGGGAGCGACCGGUAUAGUGCGGUGAUCAGAUUUGAUUUGCCGUGACAACCUUGUAUGGAGGGUUCAGAUCGCUUUACGUUGUGCAUUAUAGAUUCUGCUAUUCCUCUCUAUACUUUGUAAAAGUUAUAGAUGUAGUCGCUGAACUUUAAUUUGAUCAAUUUUAGCCUUUUUACUUUUUGAA
Molecule: long non-coding RNA, 281 nt
Organism: Gossypium arboreum
Lineage: Eukaryota; Viridiplantae; Streptophyta; Magnoliopsida; Malvales; Malvaceae
Exons: 2
Source: RefSeq, a predicted model, not a curated record